UUCCUUUUACUAGAGGGAAUGGCUGCCAAAAAUGCAGUCUGCAAACUGGCACAGCAGUGCUCCAGUGAUGGAGCCACUCGCUGCUGCAGUUUGCACUGUUUACGGCUUUCUUUAUUCCGGCUAUUACCUGACAAACCUGGCAUGUCACCUGAGGCGUUUGUUCAGAGGUGCCGAUCCUGAGAGCCCAGAACCAACAGCAGACUCUUCUCUGGCUCCCUCUGCUCCUGGAGAAGAG
Molecule: non-coding RNA, 235 nt
Organism: Cyanistes caeruleus (blue tit)
Lineage: Eukaryota; Metazoa; Chordata; Aves; Passeriformes; Paridae
Source: RefSeq, a predicted model, not a curated record